AUUGAACGCUGGCGGCAGGUCUAACACAUGCAAGUCGAACGAGCGGCGGACGGGUGAGUAAUGUCCGGGAAACUGCCUGAUGGAGGGGGAUCACUACUGGAAACGGUAGCUAAUACCGCAUACCAUCGGAUGUGCCCACAGGGGAGUAGCUAGUAGGUGGGGCAAAGGCUCACCUAGGCGACGACCCCUAGCUGGUCUGGGAGGAUGACCAGCCACACUGGAACUGAGACACGGUACGGACUCCGACGGGGGGCAGGAGGGGAGAAUAUUGCACAAUGGGCGCAAGCCUGAUGCAGCCAUGCCGCGUGUAUGAAGAAGGCCUUCGGGUUGUAAAGUACUUUCAGCGGGGAGGCGUUACCCGCAGAAGAAGCACCGGCUAACUCCGUGCCAGCAGCCGCGGUAAUAC
This 406-nucleotide ribosomal RNA is filed under the name uncultured bacterium. RNAcentral describes it as "partial 16S ribosomal RNA". It matches the Rfam family "Bacterial small subunit ribosomal RNA", at positions 29 to 526 of the family's 1533-position model. The record is from RNAcentral.